AUCAGCACCGAGAGCGCUUGCGACAGCAGUGGGGCCCCUAAAGGAAGAGAGAAUUGAUUUGGGAAAUUGCCUUGUCACAGAUUUGGGGGGGAAAAAAAAGUGUCAAAUGCAAUCAACGAUUGCAUUUUAUGAUCGCCCAUGUCAAUAUCAAUCUCCAGUUGGAGAGCGGGCGUUCCCUCAUGAGCCGCACCUGGCCCGAAAUAUUCCUUAGCUGCCUUUAAAAGCCAGGCCACGCCGACAAUUGGCUGUCGGAUUAUUAAACCUUGCUCACGACACUGUUUGUGAAAUAAAUAGUCACUAAUC
Hippocampus comes (tiger tail seahorse) is the source of this 303-nucleotide long non-coding RNA. RefSeq lists it as uncharacterized. The transcript has 2 exons. The record is from RefSeq and is a predicted model, not a curated record. NCBI's taxonomy places the organism in Eukaryota, Metazoa, Chordata, Actinopteri, Syngnathiformes, Syngnathidae.